GAUGAACGCUAGCUACAGGCUUAACACAUGCAAGUCGAGGGGAAACGACAUCGAAAGCUUGCUUUUGAUGGGCGUCGACCGGCGCACGGGUGAGUAACGCGUAUCCAACCUGCCCAUCACUUGGGAAUAACCUUGCGAAAGUAAGACUAAUACCCAAUGACAUCCCACGAAGACAUCUGAAUGGGAUUAAAGAUUUAUCGGUGAUGGAUGGGGAUGCGUCUGAUUAGCUUGUUGGCGGGGUAACGGCCCACCAAGGCAACGAUCAGUAGGGGUUCUGAGAGGAAGGUCCCCCACAUUGGAACUGCGACACGGUCCAAACUCCUACGGGAGGCAGCAGUGAGGAAUAUUGAUCAAUGGGCGAGAGCCUGAACCAGCCAAGUAGCGUGCAGGAUGACGGCCCUAUGGGUUGUAAACUGCUUUUAUAAGGGAAUAAAGUGGGUCUCGUGAGACUUUUUGCAUGUACCUUAUGAAUAAGGACCGGCUAAUUCCGUG
Molecule: ribosomal RNA, 492 nt
Filed under: uncultured bacterium
Lineage: Bacteria
Description: partial 16S ribosomal RNA
Rfam family: Bacterial small subunit ribosomal RNA
Source: RNAcentral